RNAcentral lists this ribosomal RNA (450 nucleotides) under uncultured bacterium. RNAcentral describes it as "partial 16S ribosomal RNA". It matches the Rfam family "Bacterial small subunit ribosomal RNA", at positions 354 to 796 of the family's 1533-position model. The record is from RNAcentral.
GUGGGGAAUAUUGGACAAUGGGCGCAAGCCUGAUCCAGCCAUGCCGCGUGAGUGAAGAAGGCCCUCGGGUUGUAAAGCUCUUUUGUCCGGAAAGAAAAGCGCCGGGUUAAUACCCUGGUGUCCUGACGGUACCGGAAGAAUAAGCACCGGCUAACUUCGUGCCAGCAGCCGCGGUAAUACGAAGGGUGCAAGCGUUACUCGGAAUUACUGGGCGUAAAGCGUGCGUAGGUGGUUCGUUAAGUCUGAUGUGAAAGCCCUGGGCUCAACCUGGGAAUUGCAUUGGAUACUGGCGGGCUAGAGUGCGGUAGAGGGUAGUGGAAUUCCCGGUGUAGCAGUGAAAUGCGUAGAGAUCGGGAGGAACAUCCGUGGCGAAGGCGACUACCUGGACCAGCACUGACACUGAGGCACGAAAGCGUGGGGAGCAAACAGGAUUAGAAACCCGAGUAGUCC